UGAGGAAUAUUGGGCAAUGCCCGCAAGGGUGACCCAGCAACGCCGCGUGGAGGAUGAAUGUCGUAAGAUUGUAAACUCCUGUUAGAGGGGAAGAAUAGUACCGGUUGGACCGGUAUAUGACUGUACCCUCAGAGAAAGCCCCGGCUAACUGCGUGCCAGCAGCCGCGGUAAUACGUAGGGGGCAAGCGUCGUCCGGAUUUACUGGGUGUAGAGGGCGCGCAGGCGGGAUAAAAAGUCAGUGGUGAAAUCCUACAGCUUAACUGUGGAACUGCCUUUGAUACUUUUAUUCUUGAGUUCGGGAGAGAGAGACGGAAUUCCAGGUGUAGUGGUGAAAUACGUAGAUAUCUGGAAGAACACCAGUUGCGAAGGCGGUCUCUUGGUCCGACACUGACGCUGAGGCGCGAAAGCGUGGGGAGCAAACA
This 422-nucleotide ribosomal RNA is filed under the name uncultured bacterium. RNAcentral's name for it is "bacterial SSU rRNA". It matches the Rfam family "Bacterial small subunit ribosomal RNA", at positions 355 to 774 of the family's 1533-position model. The record is from RNAcentral.